GAGCCCCAAAUUGGACCAACGGAUCGGCCCGUCCUGAAUAGGACCGGACUGAAUCGGUCCUUACCCAUUUCGGUCCGAUCCAAGAUAGAAAAAUCCUAAACCGAAUAGGUCCGAUCCGGUCCUUAAUACACCUUUUGGACCUACCGGACCGGAGUGAAUGAACCCUAGUGUCGACGGCAAGUGGCGUUACUAAAUUCGUGAAGGUCGGCGUGCUAUCCAGAUGUAAGUACAAACAGGCCCCACGUGGCUCCAACAAGGGAGCGAAUUCGCGCAGGGUCAUCAAUACGGCACAAGCGCGUAUCAUAAUCAUCAUUAAAAUCAACUUAAUCAACAAUGAUGGGCCAUAAAAAAGCCGACGCUACUUGAUAUUGAGCUUCGGAGAAACUUGGUCCUGACUCGUCCUCCAGGUCCGAAUUUCAGAUAGUUUUCUUUUCGAUUCUUUUUCGAAAUGCAACAUUUUCGCUGACAACUCUUACUUCAGUUGGGUUACCCGGAAAAGCUAGGAAAACGAAAGAUAUGAUCUUUCUUAUAGGAGGUAGAUUUAAUUGUGCCGGGAAGGUUGAUGAAAGCUCUGAUGAGGGGUGAUUCGAGGCCUUCAGAGGUGAUAGGCAAUAUAUCAUUGCAUUGGUAGCUUUUUGCUCAUACGACAGAAAUCACAUUGUCAGUGAUGGUUUAUAAUAUAGCACAUGACUUCUUCGUUCGAUACAUUAAGAAAUUUUCCCACGGUCUUCAACACAAUAGGGAGGAUUGCAAUUUGGUUGUCUUCUACCAUAUCAGCUUGAAUAAACAUGUGCUUUUCAUGACAGGCAACGGUACCCAAAUAAGACAUGUUUUGGAAAAAAGCAAGAUGAUAGUGGGAUUACUAGAAGGUAUUCUGACGAUGUUGAAGGGUGAAGUUGCAAUGGUAUAUCAUUAUCCUAGUUUCUGAAACUGUAUGUUAAAAAAGAAUAGCGAAAGAUAUGGUAAAGAAUGGAAUAGAAUGAACUUAAUGCAAACCAAUUAUAAUAUUUGGCAUCUGUUUCUAAAAAUCCCAUUUACUUUUAUUUUUACUUGUUGCGUCUGAAAGUAUUCAUUCUACUUCCUGGAUAAGGACCUUCUAGAGUGGGCAAAUUAAGUUCAUCGAUGGUUUAUUUAUAGUGUAAUAUUUACUGUAUACGUGUUACCUAUUAUCCUGUAAAUCAACCCUGUACCAUGUGAAUCGCGCAAAUUUCACUGAAGUUAAGCUAAAACCUUGCUUCUAUAAUACAAUUUAACAGACUGAGAACCCCAUUUUGUAUGCUAGGUGCAUGGGGGGAUGUUUGUUCGUUUGAUGAUGCUGGGCGAGUCUGCUCUUCUCACAUGUCCACCUGAUUAUGCAUAUGAAAACUUCCCUAGGUUACUUUAAAAAUCUAGCUUUCCCCCUCUGGUUGUAUCCAGUUUUGCCAGAACAACAUAUAUAGAGUAAUAUGGCUAUUAUUCUAAUUGUCAUUAUCAUUAAUCUAUCAUGUCUAUCUUCUUCUUUCUUCCUCUUCGAAGUAUGUGCAGAACUAAGAACUUUCCCUGACAUGAUCAGGCCAGCUAAUGUUCCUGACGGUGCUCAUGUUGAAUGGGAGGUAAAUUCGAUAUAUUGGUUUUGAGAUGCCACAGGUAAUCUAUGAAUGUAGUUCUUUAAGCCUCAGUUUGAUGCUAGACUUGUGAUCAACAUAGCAUAUUUUCCAAGAUCUCUGCAGAAGUGCUGUUGUUGACCAUUAGACUUGUGGUUACUUGUACAUUAGAACUCCCUCAUUGUUGAGAAUGGUCCAUCAUCAACAUCUGAAGUAUAUACUAUUGGUUCCUAAAAUUUUGGUUCAAGUUUUAUUUUCGUCCAAGAAAUUUAUAAAGUUCCAAUUUUGUCUCUGGAAAAUAUAAAGGUGAUAAAAGAUGAUAAGUUUUUCAUCUCUCUUUCAACUCCCUAAACAUAUGAUUGUUUUGUUCUCUCUGGAUUGUGCAAGUCUUCCUACUAUUAGACACAAAUUUUCUAGGCAUUUUUUAGUCUUAUUGACUUUAUAUAAAGUCUUUAUAUUUUAUAGGAACUUGCUUUUGGGCUUUUAUUUUCUCCUUGUAACCCCCUAAGUUUCAUUAGCUGUAUAUGGUAUUUCUCUGCCACAAGUAAGGAUAACCAAUAAAAUUAAAGUCAUGUCCCUUUCAUAUAGAAUAAAAAAAUAAAAAAUAAAAAAGAAGAAGAAGAGAGAGGGACUAAAAUCCUUCAUGCUCUUGGGUGCCAGACCAUCCUUGUGUUGUAUAUCUUCAACUAGGGGUGUAACCGGCCAGAUUUUGGACAAAAUUUAGGACUAAACCGGUAUGUACCGGUUUUACAUUUUUCAAAACCGAUUACGCACCAGUUACCCUCCUAAACCAGUACUCCAGUUCGU
Long non-coding RNA from Carya illinoinensis, 2390 nucleotides. RefSeq lists it as uncharacterized. The record is from RefSeq and is a predicted model, not a curated record. The transcript has 3 exons. NCBI's taxonomy places the organism in Eukaryota, Viridiplantae, Streptophyta, Magnoliopsida, Fagales, Juglandaceae.